Long non-coding RNA from Sphaeramia orbicularis (orbiculate cardinalfish), 120 nucleotides. RefSeq lists it as uncharacterized. The record is from RefSeq and is a predicted model, not a curated record. The transcript is spliced from 2 exons. NCBI's taxonomy places the organism in Eukaryota, Metazoa, Chordata, Actinopteri, Kurtiformes, Apogonidae.
CAACUACAACACCAACAGUCUGAUCUGAAAAGAACACAAUGAUCAUAUUCUUCUGUUUAAUGUUGAAAGUGAUGCUGGUUUCAGGGUCUUCAGUCCACCAGAAUCCACCUCAUAUUUACA